This 425-nucleotide ribosomal RNA is filed under the name uncultured bacterium. RNAcentral's name for it is "partial 16S ribosomal RNA". It matches the Rfam family "Bacterial small subunit ribosomal RNA", at positions 354 to 796 of the family's 1533-position model. The record is from RNAcentral.
GUGGGGAAUAUUGGACAAUGGGCGCAAGCCUGAUCCAGCCAUGCCGCGUGAGUGAUGAAGGCCUUAGGGUUGUAAAGCUCUUUCACCGAUGAAGAUAAUGACGGUAGUCGGAGAAGAAGCCCCGGCUAACUUCGUGCCAGCAGCCGCGGUAAUACGAAGGGGGCUAGCGUUGUUCGGAUUUACUGGGCGUAAAGCGCACGUAGGCGGUUUGUUAAGUCAGAGGUGAAAUCCCGGAGCUCAACUCCGGAACUGCCUUUGAUACUGGCAAGCUAGAGUCCGGAAGAGGUAAGUGGAACUCCUAGUGUAGAGGUGGAAUUCGUAGAUAUUAGGAAGAACACCAGUGGCGAAGGCGGCUUACUGGUCCGGAACUGACGCUGAGGUGCGAAAGCGUGGGGAGCAAACAGGAUUAGAAACCCUUGUAGUCC